Ictalurus punctatus (channel catfish) is the source of this 342-nucleotide long non-coding RNA. NCBI's taxonomy places the organism in Eukaryota, Metazoa, Chordata, Actinopteri, Siluriformes, Ictaluridae. The record is from Ensembl.
AUCCACCACCACACACACCACCACAUCCACCACCAUGUCCAACACCAUGUCCAACACCAUGUCCAACACCAUGUCCACCACCACAUCAAACACUACUUAAACCACCACAUCCAGCACCAGGUCCAACACCACAUCCAACACCACUUACACCACCAGGUCCAACACCACGCCCACCACCAUGUUCACCACCAUGUCCAACACCACGUCCAACACCACAUCCAACACCAUGUCUGACACCUCAUACACCACCACAUCCACCACCAUGUCCAACACCACAUAUACCACCACGUCCAACACCACAUGCACCACCAGGUCCACCACCUCAACCACCACAUCCACCAC